AACAAAAAGGAACAAGUAAAAAGUGGUCCUACAAGUGUAAUAGAAUUUCAGAAAUACAUUUCAGACAUAUUUUUUGCAUGAUAAGUCUGAACAUUAUAGACCUGGAGAGAGUACGUUCAUUAAGUCAAGCUCUGCGUAUAGAACUUCAGACUUCACAGAGGACCUUGAUGGUGCUUAAUACUCGAUCUACUAAUAAAUGCACGAAUGGUGUCUUAUGCUUGUACUUUAGUUAACAGUAGUUGAACAAUCAAUAUUGAGCAAUAAACCAUAGGUUUAUUUACUUUCUAUUCCAAGAUUGGCAUAGACCAUAGCAUUGUUAUGAAUUGGGCUGUGCAUUUUCCUGUUUUUAAUUUUGUGGUUAACAGUGUAUUUUAGAAAAUGGAGUGGCAUUAACAGGAUCUUACAUAUGGUCCAAAAAUUGGAUUAGAAAUCUAAAGUUACAAAGUUACAUAGCCGGCGAUUGCAGGUGUAUGUGAAAAGUAUGUUGAUGACUUUCAACCUACUGGGUCUCAUCCUGCGCCAGUAUGAAGAAGCUGAGACACAGAGAGAUGUUAUUUCAUUUCAGUUCUGCACUGAAUAUUUUUAAAUGAAACAGUGAAUGCCAUGCAAAUGUGAGAUUCAAGUAAUGUAAAAGAGUAAUAUACUUUAGGUGUUAACAGUGUAGUUUGGGAGUUGAGAUAAAGAAUAGUCAAAAUUCAGAAAACACUUUGGAUUAAAAUCCUUUUGCAUACUAUGUAAUAUAAGUAUAAUAGAUUAUGGUCAAUAGAUUUCAGCAAUUUUGUUUGUAAAAUAAGUUUUAGAGGUGUAUUCUUGGAUGCGGAGAGACAUGGACAAAACCCUGCUGUAAUUUGCUGAAAGAUCUCACAAAUGUUUGGCCAUACUGACUAUAUGAAGAGUCUGUAAGAAGUAUGUUGAUCAGCAUAAACUUACUGGGUCUCAUCCUGGGCCACCGUGGAUCUGAAAUAUAGAGAGAAAUAACUCAUCUGGAACCGUCCUGAACUGAAUGUUUUAAACAUUUCAUAUGUUAUAACAUAUUUUGAAAAGUGAAUUGUGUAGAAAUGUGGGAUGAAGGCCAUGUGAGAGUCACAUACUUUGGGUUGCCCAAUCAUAUCCUGAAGCUGAAAUGAAGAACAAUCAAAAUUCACAAAACACUUUGAAUUAAAAUAUCAAGUGAUAUCCAUUCAAUACAGUGUUCUAGAUUAUCAAGAACAAUUGUACCAUCAAAAAAUAGCUCAAAAAAUGAAAAGACACUUAAAAUAUAUGAUUAACAAAAAGGAACAAGUAAAAAGUGGUCCUACAAGUGUAAUAGAAUUUCAGAAAUACAUUUCAGACAUAUUUUUUGCAUGAUAAGUCUGAACAUUAUAGACCUGGACAGAGUACGUUCAUUAAGUCAAGCUCUGCGUAUAGAACUUCAGACUUCACAGAGAACCUUGAUGGUGCUUAAUACUCUAUAUACUAAUAAGUGCACGAAUGGUAUCUUAUAAUUGUACUUUAGUUAACAGUAGUGGAACAAUCAAUAUUGAGCAAUAAACCAUAG
Molecule: long non-coding RNA, 1537 nt
Organism: Clupea harengus (Atlantic herring)
Lineage: Eukaryota; Metazoa; Chordata; Actinopteri; Clupeiformes; Clupeidae
Source: Ensembl